Long non-coding RNA from Scylla paramamosain (green mud crab), 532 nucleotides. RefSeq lists it as uncharacterized. NCBI's taxonomy places the organism in Eukaryota, Metazoa, Arthropoda, Malacostraca, Decapoda, Portunidae. The transcript has 3 exons. The record is from RefSeq and is a predicted model, not a curated record.
GGAAUGGUACAUCACUGCAGUGCUACACGUCCCCAUGGGUACCGUGAGGACACAAAGCGUGCUCCACACGGCUGCCUGGCUGUCCAGAGGUGAUCCUCUUGUUGUCUGGCGUGGACGAGAGGCUGCUGGAGGAGGCGGCCCAGAUAGCACAGCUCCUGCAGCCCACACAGCGCCCAUACCACCGCAUCACCUUCCCCGGCAGCAGCAUGAAGGCAGAUGUGUGGUGGCGCUGCCUUCACAAGCUGGCCAAUGCCGGCGUCACGGUGAUGCGUGGUUGUGAUGGUUUUGUUGGUGGUAUUAUAGCACCGCGCACCAGCCCCAUCACGGAGGAGGAGCAGAGGGUGCUGCACACCCUUGCCAGCACCACGAUGUUAGGUGCAUUCAACAGACUGCCUGAAGAGUACCUGUGGCAGUCACUGUAAUCCCCAUGACGGCCAGACUCAUCGGUGCUGGAAGUGCAUCCACUCACGAGGCAAACACCUGGGCUGCAUUUAUCCUACUGCAUUGUGUGUGUACAAGUCUACAGUGUGGU